UACGGAGGGUGCAAGCGUUAAUCGGAAUUACUGGGCGUAAAGCGCGCGUAGGCGGUUUGUUAAGUCGGAUGUGAAAGCCCCGGGCUCAACCUGGGAACUGCAUACGAUACUGGCAAGCUAGAGUGCAAUAGAGGGGGGUAGAAUUCCAGGUGUAGCGGUGAAAUGCGUAGAUAUCUGGAGGAAUACCGGUGGCGAAGGCGGCCCCCUGGAUUGACACUGACGCUGAGGUGCGAAAGCGUGGGUAGCAAACAGG
This 253-nucleotide ribosomal RNA is filed under the name uncultured bacterium. RNAcentral's name for it is "partial 16S ribosomal RNA". It matches the Rfam family "Bacterial small subunit ribosomal RNA", at positions 524 to 776 of the family's 1533-position model. The record is from RNAcentral. RNAcentral also lists the same sequence under 2 other names.